This 467-nucleotide ribosomal RNA is filed under the name uncultured bacterium. RNAcentral describes it as "partial 16S ribosomal RNA". It matches the Rfam family "Bacterial small subunit ribosomal RNA", at positions 28 to 506 of the family's 1533-position model. The record is from RNAcentral.
GACGAACGCUGGCGGCGUGCUUAACACAUGCAAGUCGAACGGAAAGGCCCUGCUUUUGUGGGGUGCUCGAGUGGCGAACGGGUGAGUAACACGUGAGUAACCUGCCCUUGACUUUGGGAUAACUUCAGGAAACUGGGGCUAAUACCGGAUAGGAGCUCCUGCUGCAUGGUGGGGGUUGGAAAGUUUCGGCGGUUGGGGAUGGACUCGCGGCUUAUCAGCUUGUUGGUGGGGUAGUGGCUUACCAAGGCUUUGACGGGUAGCCGGCCUGAGAGGGUGACCGGCCACAUUGGGACGGAGAGACGGCCCAGACUCCUACGGGAGGCAGCAGUGGGGAAUAUGGCACAAGGGGCGGAAGCCUGAUGCAGCAACGCCGCGUGCGGGAGGACGGCCUUCGGGUUGUAAACCGCUUUCGCCUGUGACGAAGCGUGAGUGACGGUAAUGGGUAAAGAAGCACCGGCUAACUACGU